UAGAGCAACAGCCUUCUAAGCUGUAGGUCUUGGGUUCGACCCCCAACCGGAUCACUA
This 57-nucleotide transfer RNA is filed under the name Rikenellaceae bacterium. Its description in RNAcentral is "tRNA-Ser". It matches the Rfam family "tRNA", at positions 19 to 71 of the family's 71-position model. From Rfam's summary of the family: Transfer RNA (tRNA) molecules are approximately 80 nucleotides in length. Their secondary structure includes four short double-helical elements and three loops (D, anti-codon, and T loops). Lineage: Bacteria; Pseudomonadati; Bacteroidota; Bacteroidia; Bacteroidales; Rikenellaceae. The record is from RNAcentral.